RNAcentral lists this ribosomal RNA (336 nucleotides) under uncultured Treponema sp. Its description in RNAcentral is "bacterial SSU rRNA". It matches the Rfam family "Bacterial small subunit ribosomal RNA", at positions 355 to 683 of the family's 1533-position model. Lineage: Bacteria; Pseudomonadati; Spirochaetota; Spirochaetia; Treponematales; Treponemataceae. The record is from RNAcentral.
CUAAGAAUAUUCCGCAAUGGACGAAAGUCUGACGGAGCGACGCCGCGUGGAUGAGGAAGGCCGGAAGGUUGUAAAAUCCUUUUGGGACUGAAGAAUAAGUGGUGCAGGGAAUGGCAUCGUGGUGACGGUAGGUCCUGAAUAAGCAACGGCUAAUUACGUGCCAGCAGCCGCGGUAACACGUAAGUUGCGAGCGUUGUUCGGAAUUAUUGGGCGUAAAGGGCAUGUAGGCGGCCCUGCAAGCUUGGUGUGAAAUCUAUGGGCUCAACCCAUAGGCUGCAUUGAGAACUACAGGGCUUGAGUCGCUGAGGCGGAACUGGAAUUCCAGGUGUAGGGGUG